UUCAUUCCAAAUUCAUUUUCCAUUUUUCUUUUUUAUCCAUUCAAGUAACCAGUUAUCCAAUUUCACAUUACAAUUAAUGCAUAAACCAUUUCAUGGCCAUUUUCAUUUACCAUAUUCUUUAUCCAUAAAAAAAACAAGCAGAUGAUGAAUCCACAGAAGAAUGAGACGCAGGUAUGUACGCAAUACAGUACAACUACAUACAAAAGCUCACUAAAGGAAAACGGAAAAUGCGAGCCAUGUGAAACAAAAGCCAAAGUUACCACAAGCCACAAGAAAAAAUAGAGUUGGAAAAUGUAGAAUGCAUGUGCGGUAGCUGCAGGAAACACAACAGCUACAGCUGAAACGCGGCUUAGCUAUAGAACAGCUACAAGCCAAAACCCAAAUCCAUGGUACUAAGCUACAAGCUCACUUCCAAACGAGCCAACGCCCUAAGUUUCAACCAAGUCAAAACGCAAACACGACUCAAA
This 467-nucleotide long non-coding RNA is filed under the name Lathyrus oleraceus (garden pea). Its description in RNAcentral is "Pisum sativum (pea) long non-coding RNA (PSAT_LNC028848)". Lineage: Eukaryota; Viridiplantae; Streptophyta; Magnoliopsida; Fabales; Fabaceae. The record is from RNAcentral.